GACUCGCCCCAGGCGGAAGUGAGAGGGGAGAAGAUGGCGCGGGUGGUGCAGGCUGUCUAUUCCGUCCAUCUUGAGUUGGGCGCCUUCCUGGUUUGUCUGAACCACGCCCUGAGCACCGAGCAGGAUGAGGGGCUGGAAGGACAGCUCAGUGGUUAGAGCGCCAGCUCCGCUUCCUGAAUGUAUGGCCCGGUGUCCAUGUGACCCCACGUUCCAGUGACUCAGUGAGGGCGACGCUGACGUUGUCUUCUCUUCCCCGCUGCGACUGAGCGACAACAUCAGGUUUUGCUUUUCCAUGAGGACGAGAAUUCUCCCCUAUAGGUCGCACUUUGACGGCUAUACUUACCCAUAUAGGACAGUGGAGCCGGACCCCAGCUCACAGCACAUAUGGAAAUUAGCUACCAACGAGCCCGGGGCGUAAACAUGCAAGACGAGGGCGCAAACGCUUGGGAGAAGAGUGGGUCCUUGUGAUGUUGGCGAAUCAGAAUGCAAUGCACCGGAAAUGGCAGGGUGCCCAGACUGCCUUGGGGGAAUCAGAAUGGAGGCCAGAACCGAUCUUUUUCUUGAAGCACUGCUUACCAGCCAAUUUGGAGGAAAAGAUGGCCCUCCCUCCCUCCCUUUUGACCCAUUUUCCCUCUUCCCCGAUACACUCAAUAAAAUUAAAGUAAAUCAAUGAA
Rattus norvegicus (Norway rat) is the source of this 674-nucleotide RNA transcript. It is a transcript of the gene named BRCA1/BRCA2-containing complex, subunit 3, pseudogene 7, with no coding region annotated. The transcript is spliced from 4 exons. The record is from RefSeq and is marked validated. Lineage: Eukaryota; Metazoa; Chordata; Mammalia; Rodentia; Muridae.